Molecule: long non-coding RNA, 326 nt
Filed under: Elaeis guineensis (African oil palm)
Lineage: Eukaryota; Viridiplantae; Streptophyta; Magnoliopsida; Arecales; Arecaceae
Description: long non-coding RNA (EGUI_LNC017137)
Source: RNAcentral
CCUUCUUUUCCUUCUUGGAAUCAUCAUCCUUUAGCUUCCUUCUUCUCUUGAGGUGUAACUCAAGGUGAAGCUUCCAACAUUGUUCCUUCGUAUGUCUAUGAAGGUUAUAGUGAUUAUAAUAGUUUUUUUGAAUCAUGUUGAUGUGCUUUUUACACUUCUUGUCUUUCUUACAAUGAUUCUUCUCCUCAAUUACCAUGGCCUCUACACUAGCUUCAUUGAUGUUGUCAAUUUUGAAGAGCUUCAGCUUGUUUUGAAUACUCUCGUGGAGACCUCCAAUAUACCUCAUGAAAACUGCAUGAUCGUUGAUGGAUAUUCUAAGAGAGAUC